This 462-nucleotide ribosomal RNA is filed under the name uncultured bacterium. RNAcentral describes it as "partial 16S ribosomal RNA". It matches the Rfam family "Bacterial small subunit ribosomal RNA", at positions 28 to 507 of the family's 1533-position model. The record is from RNAcentral.
GACGAACGCUGGCGGCGUGCUUAACACAUGCAAGUCGAGCGGUAAGGCCUUUCGGGGUACACGAGCGGCGAACGGGUGAGUAACACGUGGGUGAUCUGCCCUGCACUUCGGGAUAAGCCUGGGAAACUGGGUCUAAUACCGGAUAUGACCUCCUAUCGCAUGGUGGGUGGUGGAAAGAUUUAUCGGUGCAGGAUGGGCCCGCGGCCUAUCAGCUUGUUGGUGGGGUAAUGGCCUACCAAGGCGACGACGGGUAGCCGACCUGAGAGGGUGACCGGCCAAACUGGGACUGAGACACGGCCCAGACUCCUACGGGAGGCAGCAGUGGGGAAUAUUGCACAAUGGGCGAAAGCCUGAUGCAGCGACGCCGCGUGAGGGAUGACGGCCUUCGGGUUGUAAACCUCUUUCAGCAGGGACGAAGCGCAAGUGACGGUACCUGCAGAAGAAGCACCGGCUAACUACGUG